AACCACCAGAGAAGAGGGCCCAAUUUCACAAAGCAGGCUUACUGAGUUAGCUGGAUAACUGCGCUGUGCAAAACCCGGAACCCUCUCAGAUCGGGAACAUGGACUGUAAGUAAGAAGAGCUUUUCCGUGUUGUGCUCGGCGCAGUUAUCCAGCUAACUGGGUAAUCCUGCUUUGUGAAACACUCCCCGGUAGUCUGUUUCCUCUGCGAGUGAGAGUGCACGCGCAGGGUGCUGAAGCUGAGAUACGAUAGGCUUGGCUGUGAUACAGAGCCGCUAAUGGAUGCUCCUCGCUCAGCUGUGGCCAAUCGGGUUAGGGAGGGAGGAAGCACGCGCGCUUCCUCCUGUCUCGCGGAGGACGAGCAGACUGUUAAUGCUCUCCUGUCGGUUGCAGGGAACACAAACGUUCAGGGGGGAGGUUGGGUGGUGACGUGGCAAAUAAGAUGAGAAAUUGUUUGUUUUUCUAUCAAAGGUUCACAACUGAAAAAAGAAACGGCCAAGUUCCAACAAACGCGAUUUCGUAUAGGCUAUGUAUGAUUUGAUUUGUUUCAGUAUAUGCAUGGCCUGUAUGGGCUUUCAGCGUUUAUGGCUGAAUUAGUAUUUGAAUGAUAGCAGUUGUCUGAAUUCACUGUGUUGGGUUACUACCACAAAUAGUCUAUAUCACCUCGUUUAAAUAAGCAGCCUACAUGAACUUGAUUUUUUGUAAUAUUAGGAAUUUAUCAGUCUUUAGUCGUGAAGCUUAUGUCACGGCUAAAAAAACGUGAUUUAGGAGUAUUGCAGUUCCAUGCAUUAGCCUGUAUGAAACAUUAUUUGUUUCAGGAGGUACCGCAUAAGCAUGUCAAUCAAGGAAACAAGGCACCCUACCCAAUAUUUGCACUUAAACUGUGUUAAAGAAUUUUAAAGCCGUUAAAGUGUUUUUUUACUUGACUUGUCUCCUUUCAAAAAAAUUUAACUUUUUAUCUGUUUUUAGGGACCUUGCUUGCCUAUGACUGGAUUGUUUACAUGUUCGUUAUGAAAUGGGACGCCGCAGGGCCGAGCAUUUCUCAGGGACAAUAUUUUGCGCCUGCUGUUCGGUAAUAAAUUCGGUCUCUUUCACAAACACUAAAGGACAGAGUAUUGCCCCAAAGCGACCUCAUUCACCAACGUAAAAAUCCCCUUCAGGAGAAUGUGUUGUAUUUUUAUAUUUUGGACAAGCGUAGCUGUUAAAGAUAAUGUUUGACUUUUGUCCAUUAUUCACUCGGCAAACAACGCCUCAUUCAGAAUGAGAAAAAAAGUUCGUGUGAAUUACGGGUCCAACUUAAAGACACGCCUCGCCCCGACUGGAGCAUAUACACCCAAGCUAAGAAAACACAUACGAAAGAUUUAAGACGGACGUGUCAGUGGAAUAUUUGCAUCUCUGCGGUGGAGCCGUGGAGCCGGUGUUUGUGCAGACUCGCGGGCAUCGCCGCCCAAACACAGCCAGCGGGCGGCCAGUGGGCGGCCGCCGAGAAUGCUGGCGCGCAAACAGCGGCUGGGGCGAGUCGCCGCGGUUUGUUCCGGAAUUCUCCCACAGUGUCACCUCCAGCUCGGGCCAAAGAGCCAAAUUCCUCCCCGCGCUCCUCGUGUUUACCUCGCGGACGGGCACGGACGCGCUGUCCCCUGCUCGCCACCGCUGCUCC
Molecule: long non-coding RNA, 1654 nt
Organism: Anguilla rostrata (American eel)
Lineage: Eukaryota; Metazoa; Chordata; Actinopteri; Anguilliformes; Anguillidae
Exons: 3
Source: RefSeq, a predicted model, not a curated record